UGUUACUUCAAAUUUAAUGAGGUGAAAAUUGUAAGACAUCUUUUUAUCAAUUUUGUAUUAGAGAUAUUUUCAAUUUGUGGAUAGAGAUAAAUUUUAAGAUGUAAAAUAUUGUUUAAGUAUUUACUUCUCUCCUUGUACUCACCUCCAUCCACCGUGUAUAUAGAUUUAUGUUUUCAUAAGGAUUUAUGUUUUUUUAAUAAAUACGAAAUCAUUUAAAAUUAUAAUUAAGUUUAAUUUUAAUUUAAUUAAUAACGCGGUAUAUCCGGGUCUAGAUUUAUAUGAGUGGUGAAGCAAGUGAACACAAGAUUAGUUGACUUUGAACUUUAGGUUAGUGUCAAAGUUGGUUGAAGUGAACGUAAAAGGGGUGAACUUAGUAUAUGGAAGGUUACACAAAGAUAAUAGAAAAUUUCAUUUUUAAUUAAUUACAUUAAAUCAAUUCUUCUUCCCUCUUACUAUGUUAGUAUGUUUUAUGUUAUUCAUUCUCUUUUUGAAACUUGAUAUAUUUGUUCUAGGCAAACUUGUCUUCCUUAUUCCUUUCUUCAGAUUUUAUUCUACUUCUCAUAAGAAGACAUUAUUGUAGAAAAAGAGGCACUAGUAAAAAAAA
Molecule: long non-coding RNA, 604 nt
Filed under: Vigna radiata
Lineage: Eukaryota; Viridiplantae; Streptophyta; Magnoliopsida; Fabales; Fabaceae
Description: long non-coding RNA (VRAD_LNC013189)
Source: RNAcentral